GAUCAUGGCUCAGGAUGAACGCUGGCGGCGUGCCUAACACAUGCAAGUCGAACGAAGCAAUUAAAGGAAGUUUUCGGAUGGAAUUUGAUUGACUGAGUGGCGGACGGGUGAGUAACGCGUGGAUAACCUGCCUCACACUGGGGGAUAACAGUUAGUAAAUAGACUGCUAAUACCGCAUAAGCGCAUAGUACCGCAUGGUACGGUGUGAAACUACCGGUGGUGUGAGAUGGAGUCCGCG
RNAcentral lists this ribosomal RNA (238 nucleotides) under uncultured bacterium. RNAcentral's name for it is "partial 16S ribosomal RNA". It matches the Rfam family "Bacterial small subunit ribosomal RNA", at positions 15 to 235 of the family's 1533-position model. The record is from RNAcentral.